This 1369-nucleotide ribosomal RNA is filed under the name uncultured bacterium. Its description in RNAcentral is "bacterial SSU rRNA". It matches the Rfam family "Bacterial small subunit ribosomal RNA", at positions 28 to 1381 of the family's 1533-position model. The record is from RNAcentral.
GACGAACGCUGGCGGCGUGCCUAAUACAUGCAAGUAGAACGCUGAAGAGAGGAGCUUGCUCUUCUUGGAUGAGUUGCGAACGGGUGAGUAACGCGUAGGUAACCUGCCUUGUAGCGGGGGAUAACUAUUGGAAACGAUAGCUAAUACCGCAUAACAAUGGAUGACACAUGUCAUUUAUUUGAAAGGGGCAAUUGCUCCACUACAAGAUGGACCUGCGUUGUAUUAGCUAGUAGGUGAGGUAACGGCUCACCUAGGCGACGAUACAUAGCCGACCUGAGAGGGUGAUCGGCCACACUGGGACUGAGACACGGCCCAGACUCCUACGGGAGGCAGCAGUAGGGAAUCUUCGGCAAUGGGGGCAACCCUGACCGAGCAACGCCGCGUGAGUGAAGAAGGUUUUCGGAUCGUAAAGCUCUGUUGUAAGUCAAGAACGAGUGUGAGAGUGGAAAGUUCACACUGUGACGGUAGCUUACCAGAAAGGGACGGCUAACUACGUGCCAGCAGCCGCGGUAAUACGUAGGUCCCGAGCGUUGUCCGGAUUUAUUGGGCGUAAAGCGAGCGCAGGCGGUUUGAUAAGUCUGAAGUUAAAGGCUGUGGCUCAACCAUAGUUCGCUUUGGAAACUGUCAAACUUGAGUGCAGAAGGGGAGAGUGGAAUUCCAUGUGUAGCGGUGAAAUGCGUAGAUAUAUGGAGGAACACAGGUGGCGAAAGCGGCUCUCUGGUCUGUAACUGACGCUGAGGCUCGAAAGCGUGGGGAGCGAACAGGAUUAGAUACCCUGGUAGUCCACGCCGUAAACGAUGAGUGCUAGGUGUUGGAUCCUUUCCGGGAUUCAGUGCCGCAGCUAACGCAUUAAGCACUCCGCCUGGGGAGUACGACCGCAAGGUUGAAACUCAAAGGAGUUGACGGGGGCCCGCACAAGCGGUGGAGCAUGUGGUUUAAUUCGAAGCAACGCGAAGAACCUUACCAGGUCUUGACAUCCCGAUGCUAUUUCUAGAGAUAGAAAGUUACUUCGGUACAUCGGUGACAGGUGGUGCAUGGUUGUCGUCAGCUCGUGUCGUGAGAUGUUGGGUUAAGUCCCGCAACGAGCGCAACCCCUAUUGUUAGUUGCCAUCAUUCAGUUGGGCACUCUAGCGAGACUGCCGGUAAUAAACCGGAGGAAGGUGGGGAUGACGUCAAAUCAUCAUGCCCCUUAUGACCUGGGCUACACACGUGCUACAAUGGUUGGUACAACGAGUUGCGAGUCGGUGACGGCAAGCUAAUCUCUUAAAGCCAAUCUCAGUUCGGAUUGUAGGCUGCAACUCGCCUACAUGAAGUCGGAAUCGCUAGUAAUCGCGGAUCAGCACGCCGCGGUGAAUACGUUCCCGGGCCU